Molecule: long non-coding RNA, 1533 nt
Organism: Oxyura jamaicensis (ruddy duck)
Lineage: Eukaryota; Metazoa; Chordata; Aves; Anseriformes; Anatidae
Exons: 3
Source: RefSeq, a predicted model, not a curated record
AUUGCCUCGUGUGACUAGAAUGAAUAACACCUUCCGUUUUUAAUUAAUCUGUUGGAGAUUUGCAUUUGUACUUGUUGAAGCCAUCACUCUUCUUUCCUGGGUUAUCACAGCUGCACCUCGGCUCAGAGGAAAAGGAAUAUGUAAAGUGAGAAACUGUCGGAGGAACAGGAGAUGGACUGACAAGAUGCCAAUGUUUUGAAAAACCUUUUACAGCAGGAACCUUCCAAUGCACAUCUGAUAAAGCCAUCAAGAGCCCCUGUUAUUAUGUGCCAUAAUGGCCCACAGAGUAUUUGAUUAGAGCAUUUUCCUCAUCACACCGACAAACUAAGAGAUAUUAUCUGCCUCGGGAGGCUAAAUGGAAGACUUGAGGGAUAAAAAGGUCUGUUGUUGUUACACGCAUGAUCUUGUGACUGAAAACAUCGCAAGGGAUUAAGACAGCUCGCUGGAUGUAUGGAGUGAGUCAGUAUAUGUAAAUUAGCUUUGUUUACCAACACUGAUGUCUUGUAAUUAUUCUAUCCAGCUACACUUAAACUUAAGAAUAAUCUAGGGAAUACUCCAGCUGUGAUAUGAUUGCUUUCUUAUUUAUAACAAAUGUUGCUUUCUUUAUAAUGGGAAGAAGGAAUUGGUGCUGAUAAUGAGGUGUCUGUUUAUAUUUAUGUUCUGCUGUCCCUAGCAGAAGAACAUUAAUAUUACAUCCAAGCCCCAGGUGUCCUCCAGACCAUGACAUCCACUCAGACCACUCACUUGUCUGAAAUGCCCAGGUUGGUGGGACAACUCUUCCAUGUGAACAAACAGCCCAACAGCUCCGGUUCUGCCUGAAACAAAAUAAACUGCUCUUAUCCUCUGAUGAACUUUGUCAGCUUCAUGCAGUAUUUUUUUUUUCAAGUGUUGCACUAGGAAAAAAAUAGAAACAUAAGAACCAUGUGGUGCUAUGGAGAAAUACUGUUGAAUAUAGCUGGCUAAGUGCAUGUAAGGUAAGGAAAAGAUAAGAAAGAAUUGCAGGCCUAGGGGAGAUGGGAUAUGCAAUGUUGGCCUGCUUGCUCCUUUGCUUUUAUUGUGGCAAUACUGAUGUAAUGGCCAUCAAUCUCUGACAGUAAGCCCCAAAUACAUAUUUAUCCUGCCUGAUAGAUGUAUCACUUUAAGAAAAUGCUGCUUAUUUUGGUGGUAGAACAGUUGUUAUGGUGACUCCUCUUCUUCCCUCAUUUAAUACAGGAAGCAGAGACCUAAAAUAAAAAUCAUUCCAUUUAUGGAGUUUAAAAGAAACCCACUCUGAGGCUGUAAUUCAACACAGAGAUGUUUCAGAAUAUUUAAUGAUGUAUUUAUUUUAUAUUAUUUGGCUUUUCUUUUGGAACUUGGAAUUUUGUGGAACGACGUAGUAAUAGGAAUGUAUGGAAGGAAAAGUAUUUUUCUAUGGCACAUACUAUAUCAUUUGUUUGUAUUUAAUAUUUAUACAGAAUUGUGGUUAUUGAAUGUACAAAUACCUUUUGCAUGUUAGUUUGAGUAAAUGAGUAAAGGUUACACAGAAUUCUCUUU